CGGGACAUAGCGCAAUUGGUUAGCGCACUAGCUUUGGGAGCUAGAGGUUGUGGGUUCGAGUCCCACUGUCCCGA
Molecule: transfer RNA, 74 nt
Filed under: Pseudomonadota bacterium
Lineage: Bacteria; Pseudomonadati; Pseudomonadota
Also listed under: 1 other name
Description: tRNA-Pro
Rfam family: tRNA
About the family: Transfer RNA (tRNA) molecules are approximately 80 nucleotides in length. Their secondary structure includes four short double-helical elements and three loops (D, anti-codon, and T loops).
Source: RNAcentral